This 492-nucleotide ribosomal RNA is filed under the name uncultured bacterium. RNAcentral describes it as "partial 16S ribosomal RNA". It matches the Rfam family "Bacterial small subunit ribosomal RNA", at positions 29 to 507 of the family's 1533-position model. The record is from RNAcentral.
AGUGAACGCUGGCGGUAGGCCUAACACAUGCAAGUCGAACGGCAGCACAGUAAGAGCUUGCUCUUACGGGUGGCGAGUGGCGGACGGGUGAGGAAUACAUCGGAAUCUACUUUUUCGUGGGGGAUAACGUAGGGAAACUUACGCUAAUACCGCAUACGACCUACGGGUGAAAGCAGGGGAUCUUCGGACCUUGCGCGAUUGAAUGAGCCGACGUCGGAUUAGCUAGUUGGCGGGGUAAAGGCCCACCAAGGCGACGAUCCGUAGCUGGUCUGAGAGGAUGAUCAGCCACACUGGAACUGAGACACGGUCCAGACUCCUACGGGAGGCAGCAGUGGGGAAUAUUGGACAAUGGGCGCAAGCCUGGUCCAGCCAUACCGCGUGGGUGAAGAAGGCCUUCGGGUUGUAAAGCCCUUUUGUUGGGAAAGAAAAGCAGCAGGUUAAUAUCCCGCUGUUCUGACGGUACCCAAAGAAUAAGCACCGGCUAACUUCGUG